AAUAAAAAGCAAAAAACCCUGUUGUAGAAAAGUUCAAACAUACAUUUUAUUCGGACCCUGCUACUGUGUACAAACGUACCCUGCGUUUCCAGCUUCAAACGAGAGUUCUGUAGCGUUCCUGAGAGUCAGGGAGCUGCCUGGCCAUGGUCCUGCCUCCUGGUCUGAGGCUGCAGCGAGCGGUGGCCCCUUAGAUCUGCAGGAAUUGCAAACUCUUGCAAAUGCCGUGAGCUGGAGGCUCAGUUCUUUGUGGGCUGGAGGAUUUAGUACCCUGCACCCCCAACCCCUGGUCUCUCCAGAGGGCUGCUCACAGCAGGGUAGCUGGCUUCUCCCAGGUGAGGCCUCAGAGACAGAUGGACAGAGAUCUAGAACCCGCGAAACAGCAAGCCCUCCAGACAAAGCUGCACUGUCUCUCACAGCCUACAUCUCAGAAGCAAAGUCACUUCUGCACUCUUCUGGUCACACAGACCUGCCCUAGGACAGUGUAGGAGGGGACCACGGAGAUGAGAGUGCCAGCAGGUGGGGCCGUUGGGCCUGUCUUGGAGGUGGCCCACCAUGUGCACCCAAGUAGAAAGGUUUUGUGGACCCGGUGCACCUGCCACCUAGCCUCAGCAGUUACCAGCCGAGGGCCUCCCCAUACACGCAGCGGGUUUGAAGCAAACCUCAGAGGUGAUUUCCACCAUAAAUAUUUCAGCACGUGUUUAUUUCAAAGGAAGGGGAUCCCUGCUGGGGAGAAACAAGCCACAGAAACAUUAUCUACCCGGUCCGGGGACCUACUGCUAUGUAAGGAACCGCUCCAAAAUGGAGUGGCUUGGAGCAGUGAUUCACAGCUCUCUCUGCUGUUCUGCCGGCAGAGUGAGCUCCCCUGGGGCUCUCCCCAAGCUGCAGUGAGGUCGGGUCCAUGCGGGGGUCCCAUCAGAUGGUGCUCAGCUAACGCUGCCGGCCCGAGGCCCUUCCACACGACUUCUGCGGGAUCUCGGCAGCUGGAUUCCAAGAGCAAAUGUUCUGAGACACCUGUUGGCAAGUCUCUGUGUGAACCACCGGGAAGUGCCGGAAACCAAACAACUGCAGCUUUUCACUGGUCAAGCCCAAGACAAGCUGGCCCAGGUUUAAGCAGGGAGUUAGAUUUCACCUCUCUCAACGCGGAGAAAAGCAAAGCCGUCUCUCGCAGAGCCUGGCAACCACUGUCCUGCUUUCUGUACCCACGAAUCUGCCUUUCCUGAGCGUUGCAUCUCUGUCCCACGGAGUCCUGUAGCUCCAGUGACCCUGUUCCAGUCCGUCCAUGGCAGAGAAGGCGUCGUUUGUGCUGUUUAUUGGGAUAAGGAUAAUAAAGAAAAGAACGUGCAAACGAAACCACAGGGAGACACCUCUUCACACCUGCUGGGUGGCUGAGAUUGAGCAGACAGGGCGAGCCGGGAACCUCGCGCCCCGCCCGCGGGGGUGCGGGGAAGCAUGUGCUGGCGCUGCCCUCCGGCCCAGCGCCUCCCGUCCCAGAGCGCUGAGGACAUAUGUUCACGGAAGACCGUGUGCACGUUUCCAGCAGCCCAUUGCGGGAACACCCCAUAGGCAGGUCCCCGGACAGUGCGGGUAACAAAGCCGUCCAUCAUCAGGGGGUCUGGCAAGAAAAACACUGAAGUGUCCAUUCGUGCUGGAAAACGGAUGAACUUUGAACACAUGACGCCAAGUUAAGGAAGCCAGACGCAGAGGUCACGUGUGGUACGAUUCCAUUUACACGCAGUGUCCCAGAUCGGCAAAUCCGCAGACAGAAAAUGGGCUGGCACAUGCCAGGGACCGGGGGAGGUGAUGAGGGAGUAACUGCUAGUGGGUUUGUUUUUGGGGUGAUGAAAAUAUUCUGGAAUUUGAAUGUGCUGUUGGAUUAUGACCCUGUGAAUAAAGUCACUGUAAAAUUAAAAUUUUACAUUCCA
Molecule: long non-coding RNA, 1922 nt
Organism: Ailuropoda melanoleuca (giant panda)
Lineage: Eukaryota; Metazoa; Chordata; Mammalia; Carnivora; Ursidae
Exons: 3
Source: RefSeq, a predicted model, not a curated record